This is a long non-coding RNA of Oncorhynchus kisutch (coho salmon), 2990 nucleotides long. The record is from Ensembl. NCBI's taxonomy places the organism in Eukaryota, Metazoa, Chordata, Actinopteri, Salmoniformes, Salmonidae.
UUUUUUAAUAUGUAGGUCAUUGUCAGAUUGUGAAUAGCGGCUGUAGAGAGUGUCUUUCGGCAUGUGUGUCACUGUGUCAUGUUUCACACUGUGUUUAACAAUGAGUGUGUGUGUGUGUGUGUGUGUGUGUGUGUGUGUGUGUGUGUGUGUGUGUGUGUGUGUGUGUGUGUGAGAGAGAGAGAGAGUCCCUUAUUGUCGAGUCAUCUCCCACGGUCACAUGCUUGUCAGAGGGCUAGAGGAGGAAACCCAAUCGAGGGGAAUGGAAGUUGGGGGAGGGUUUGAAACAUUAGUUGGUACUCAAUGGUUGCGAGUGUAGAGUGUUGGUGUGUGUCAGGGCAGAGUGUGUGCUUGUGUUAGGGGGUGUGCAGAGCCAAGCCAGUAAUACAGAACCAACCAGUCUCCCUCGCUCUCUCUUGCUCUGCUUCUCUCUUCAUCCCUUACACACACACCCGGCCUCUUCCUCUCCCUUACACACACAAUCCCUCUCCCUCUCUCACACACUCCCUCUCCCUCUCACACACACUCCCUCUCCCUCUCUCACACACACUCCCUCUCCCUCUCCCUUACAUUCACCACUCCCCUCUCCCUCUUCUCUGUGUUCUCUCCUUGCCUGUCUGAAUUCACAGUGGGUUUUGACUCUGCACUACGAUGUCUGCAGUUGCAGGAAGCUCUCUGCAGUGAGCACGCCGAGGUUAUGCUUCUCAAAAGUCCUCUGUUGAGUCAGAAACAGAGUGAAAAGGGCUAAGGACUGCGUCACAAUAUACUGCCCUGACCUCGUGACACCGCACGGAGCCAUGAGUAACCCUAAGGAUGCCAGCGACACCAAUGUCGCCGCCAACACCAAGACCGCGGUCACGUCAGCCGUGAGUUUAAACUUUACAUCGAUACACAUGAGCUAUUCUAGACCAGGGUUUCCCCAAACUCGGUCCUCGGUGACCCCAAGGGGUUCACGUUUUGGUUUUUGACCUAGCACUACACAGCUGACUUAAAUAAUCAACUAAUCAUCACGCUUUGAUCAUUUGAAUUAGCUGUAUAAUGGUAGGUCACAAAACAAAACAUGCACCCCUUGUGGGUUUAAUUUUUAUUUUUUUUACCUUUAUUUAACUAGGCAAGUCAGUUAAGAACAAAUUAUUAUUUUCAAUGACUGCCUAGGAACAGUGGGUUAACUGCCUGUUCAGGGGCAGAAUGACAGAGUUGUACCUUGUCAGCUCGGGGACACUAGGCUACCCUGCCGCCCCGGUUCCGAGGACCGAGUUUGGGAAACGGUGUUCUAUACACACUCUCUAAACACACAUUAUUAGACAUUUAUUUAUGUAUUUAUUUGUUGGUGUUUUACUUAUUGGUCAGGUAAUGCUUACAUUGCACCAGUAGUACCUGUAAAGCCAAUUUCAUGCUCUAUUACAAAUGAAUCAAAAACUAAAAAACGUUUCUUGAGACAGUGCUGCUGUGUCGUGACCCCAACGAGUAAAUGUGGUUGAAAUGACAUCAUUACAACCAUUAUGACAUUUCAAACAAUUUUGCUCAGUUUUGCCUGCUGGGGACAUGAGAUAAACCCCACUAACUAAGACCCAGUUUUGCCUGCUGGGGACAUGAGCUAAACCCCGCUAACUAAGACCCAGUUUUGCCUGCUGGGACAUGAGCUAAACCCCGCUAACUAAGACCCAGUUUUGCCUGCUGGGACAUGAGCUAAACCCCGCUAACUAAGACCCAGUUUUGCCUGCUGGGGACAUGAGCUAAACCCUGCUAACUAAGACCCAGUUUUGCCUGCUUUGGACAUGAGCUAAACCCCACUAGCUAAGACCCAGUUUUGCCUGCUGUGGACAUGAGCUAAAUCCCGCUAGCUAAGACCCAGUUUUGCCUACUGGGACAUGAGCUAAACCCCACUAACUAAGACCCAGUUUUGCCUGCUGGGACAUGAGCUAAACCCCGCUAACUAAGACCCAGUUUUGUCUGCUGGGACAUGAGCUAAACCCCGCUAACUAAGACCCAGUUUUGCCUGCUGGGGACAUGAGCUAAACACUGCUAACUAAGACCCAGUUUUGCCUGCUUUGGACAUGAGCUAAACCCCACUAGCUAAGACCCAGUUUUGCCUGCUGGGGACAUGAGCUAAAUCCCGCUAGCUAAGACCCAGUUUUGCCUACUGGGACAUGAGCUAAACCCCACUAACUAAGACCCAGUUUUGCCUGCUGGGACAUGAGCUAAACCCCACUAGCUAAGACCCAGUUUUGCCUGCUGGGGACAUGAGCUAAACCACUAAGACCCAUGAAGUGUUUCGUUUUUUUCCCGCACUGUUGGCUAGUUCCUCUCAGACAUGGGUGAUAUGUGGUGGUACGACGCCCACACGCCAGCAUUCCUGCCUAGAUUUACUUAUUAAUACCAGCUUUGACUUAACCCCAAUGCUCAUAUCGGGGGUGGGAGGGAGUGCUUGUGGGUGGGCGGUUAAGGUGGUCGUGAUGAUGCUUGCGUGACUGGGAGUAUGUGUGUGUGUGUGUUUGUCUGAUAAAGGCAAUUUCCUCCCCCUCUUGUCCGUUUUGAUCUUUGAGGGCUGGUUGCUCUCGGUCAAACAAUAGACGUUAAUCUGAACAAUUGCAGCCCAAAGAAACACCUUUCAUUACUAUGGCAACCUGACGGACCAUACACACCUGUCAAUCACUGCUGGGAUUGGUGGGGCAUUACCACUCACUGGCCUUUAGCAAGGUUUUGUUAACCAUAUUCUUCUCCCCAAUUUCAUGAUUACGAUCUUCUCUCAUCGCUGCAACUCCCCAACGGGCUCUGAGAGGCGAAGGUUGAGUCAUGCGUCCUCCGAAACAUGACCCAAACCAAACCGCGCUCCUUAACACCCGCUCGCUUAACCUGGAAGCCAGCUGUACCACUGUGACGGAGGAAACACCGUUCAUCUGACAACCGAAGUCAGCCUGCAGGCGCCUGGCCUGCCACGAGGAGUCGCUAGAGCGCGAUGAGCCAAGUAAAUCCCUACCGGCCAAACGCUG